GUAGGGUGCGAGCGUUAAUCGGGAAUUACUGGGGCGUAAAGCGUGCGCAGGCGGUUAUGUAAGGCAGAUGUGAAAUCCCCCGGGGCUCAACCUGGGAACUGCAUUUGUGACUGCAUGGCUAGAGUACGGUAGAGGGGGAUGGAAUUCCGCGUGUAGCAGUGAAAUGCGUAGAUAUGCGGAGGAACACCGAUGGCGAAGGCAAUCCCCUGGACCUGUACUGACGCUCAUGCACGAAAGCGUGGGGAGCAAACAGGAUUAGAUACCCUGGUAGUCCACGCCCUAAACGAUGUCAACUGGUUGUUGGGAAUUAGUUUUCUCAGUAACGAAGCUAACGCGUGAAGUUGACCGCCUGGGGAGUACGGCCGCAAGGUUG
Molecule: ribosomal RNA, 373 nt
Filed under: uncultured organism
Description: partial 16S ribosomal RNA
Rfam family: Bacterial small subunit ribosomal RNA
Source: RNAcentral